This is a long non-coding RNA of Laticauda laticaudata (blue-ringed sea krait), 2916 nucleotides long. NCBI's taxonomy places the organism in Eukaryota, Metazoa, Chordata, Lepidosauria, Squamata, Elapidae. The record is from Ensembl.
AUGCUUUGUUUUGUCAUGUUGAUUUCCAAGACCUUUACUGUCCUUCUCCAUUCUCCAUCAGAACCUUUCACAAUUAUCUGUAACACAAUUGGCCUUUGGAUGGGGAGCAGAAGGAGUGGGUUCAAGGCUGACUCCUGUCCCAACCUUCCCCUGGCAACUAGAUAUGGCAAUUUGGCUAUGAGCCUAGUCCUGUGCAAAAUAGUUCACAGCUGUGAACUUGCAAAUAAUGAGAACUCAUCUGGAACAUGCUAUGAAGAAAAAUGCUCACGCAAUGGAAUAUUCACACACUUCAGUUCAGUUCUGUUAAUAUUAGGAUUUGAGCUCACUGAAAGUCAGAGAAAAUAAAUUAAUGUUUGAAACAUGUAGCUUUAAAAGAUGUGUUGCAUGGAGUAGAUAACAGAUAAUCAGAGUUGGAAGGGACCUUGUAGGUCAUCUAGUCCAACUCCUUGCCCAAGCAACCUUUCACCAUUUCUGACAAAUGGCAGUCCACUCUCUUCUUGAAGGUCUCAAGUGAUGGUGCUCCCACAACUUCUGAGGGCAAGCUGUUCCAUUGGUUGAUUGUUCUCACUGUCAGAAAGUUUCUCCUUAUUUCCAGGUUAAACCUUUCUUUCCAUUCACCACCCAGUUACAGCACUUAAAGGAUCUCAAAAUUUCCCAAAAUUCAUUGUCAUUUAUCUUCUGGCAAGAUGUUCUGAAAUGAUCUAUGUUCUUCCCAUGUUAUUGGACUUUUAACUACUCAUAACAUUGCUAACCAUUGUUGCUAAAACAUGCUGUAGAUAUGCCAAUAAGUCUUUUGGGGAAAUUGUGGCUGAUUUUCCAAGAUAUACUAAUUUUAACAUUGACUUUAAAAAACAAACAGAAAUGUAGAUUUAAAAAUUGUUUCUAUUUUCUUGUAUCAAGAUACAGAUGUAAAGACUUAAUAAAUUUUGUUUCUUUCAAAGCUUGCUUUUCAUAAUACAAAAAUAUAUAUAAAAUACACAAAAGACAUCUGUGCUCCAUAUUUUUGAAAGACAAUAUCCAGAUUUUGCAGUCACCCUUGUGGCUUUUGAGACUUUACUAGAAAUUGUUCACAUACUGGGAUUUAAAUAAUGGCUAGAAUUUUGUUUUCAAAAGCAAAUGAAAGAUGACAGCUUUAGGAAAAUGUAAGCUGCAAUCAAUGACACAUUCUGCACAUGUAGCAAAUACAUGAAAAGUCAAAAGUGCUGAUCAUAUACUGUUCAUUUUCAGGAGUCAAACAUGCUUUAUAUUUUAAAUGAGCAAUCUCUUAUUAUAAUUAACAUGGCUAGUUAUCAAAUGCUCUAAAAUCAAUACUACCUUAAAAGUACAGUUUGGUCAAGUACAGUUUGGUCAACUAUCUGGUUAGGUAUUGUUAGUGGACUUAUUUUUCCAACACAGCCAAAUAUUUCAGACUCAGACAAGUGUCGCUAGAUUGCAUUGCUUCUUUCAUUGUCUACUACUAUUUACAACUAGAAACAGCAACUUUCCUAGCAUGCUAAAGUAAUAAUAUAACAGGUUGAAAUCUUCACAAAAUUAAUUAGAUAUUGUCAAAUCUCAGCCUAAUCUAUCUCAUAGUGAUGAAAGAUAUAUUAUAAUGGGAGGACAUAAAUGUAAUAAAAUUCAUUCUUUUCAAAUUAAUGUUAUUGUUUCAUAAAUGCCAUAUUUUUGUAACUUGAAAGAAAAUAGGGGACAAUAUUAUAAAUUAUAUGAUUAUGAUAUGAAGAUAGGGAUUGAUUUCUUUUUGUUUAAAACAAGCUAAAACAGCAGCAGUAGGAAAUUGUAAUGUUUAAGGAUUAAAAUAUGUAAUAUUUUAAACUCUUCUCAUGCAUGUAAAAAUAUUAUUUGCCAAUAUGUGUAUUGGGUUGUACUGAGUAGCAACUCUCUUUUUAACAAACUGUACAACAAUGAAGAUUCCCACACAGAAGAGGCUCUAGUAUAGAACCUGCAUUGUUCAUCAAAUUUUUCCAUAAUGUUGCAAAAGAUUUCUGGACAUUUAUUCAUUUCUUGCUAUUUGUCAGAGAGAUAGUUAGACUAUAAAAUAGUUUGAAUGGAAUCUUAUUAAUUUUUCAAGAAUUGUUGUGACCUUUUUUUCUUAGUUUGAACCAAUUUAGAUUCUUUAAGGGUUAUCUAGUCUUCUGAAGGGUUUCUCUCAAAUGCUAAUAACUGAUUUUAUAAUUUUUAUGUGUUUCUUGUGGCUUGGACAACUUCUCUUUGCAUUUGGUUUCCAGCCAAUCCUUGCCUAGACUUCCCAUAAAUUUCAUUGUUUUUCUUAGCCUUUGUUACAUGUCUAAUAGUGUCAAACCAAUGAGUUUUUUUAUGUACAUUUCUAUUCAUCACAUGAUACUCUUUUGAAAUGAGCAAUGUUAUACAAAAUUCAUAAAAAAUAGGAAAAAGAGAAUUUAAAGGAAAGACAGAAAAGGAACUCUAUAGUUUACACUAAUAUAUCACUAUAUGUUUUUAUACAUUUGCAAACCAUCUUUUCUUUCCAUACUGCAUUAAUACGCUGCAUUUGCUUUUUUAAAUGUUGCAUUAUCUAAAGUAAGCACAUCCAUAAUAUAGAGCAAAUAAUUAAUACAGAGAUUUUAACUCAGAUCAUACAUCAAAGCAGCUGAUUUCACCUUAUGCCAGCAGGUUCUUCAAACCAUCUACUCUGGCCCCAGGACAGUUAUCAUUGUUUCUCAUCUUUUCCCAACAGAUUUAACACCUGUGUGUGCCUUUUCUUUACCACUUUAUCUUUCUUCUCUCUAUGAACUGAACUACAAAAAAAAAAAAAGCCUUUUCCAGCAGAAACUGAUUUUGACUUGAUUCACACAGCACCCAACUCGUUUUCCUUUAGCAUUAUUUUCCUUGUAUUGAUUUUGCAUCAGUUUUCUUCAUUGUUGUUGACCUGUUAUAUAUUAGAAGUCUGAAAGAUCAGGC